RNAcentral lists this ribosomal RNA (465 nucleotides) under Vreelandella stevensii. RNAcentral's name for it is "partial 16S ribosomal RNA". It matches the Rfam family "Bacterial small subunit ribosomal RNA", at positions 338 to 795 of the family's 1533-position model. Lineage: Bacteria; Pseudomonadati; Pseudomonadota; Gammaproteobacteria; Oceanospirillales; Halomonadaceae. The record is from RNAcentral.
CCUACGGGCGGCAGCAGUGGGGAAUAUUGGACAAUGGGGGCAACCCUGAUCCAGCCAUGCCGCGUGUGUGAAGAAGGCCCUCGGGUUGUAAAGCACUUUCAGUGAGGAAGAACGCCUGGUGGUUAAUACCCAUCAGGAAAGACAUCACUCACAGAAGAAGCACCGGCUAACUCCGUGCCAGCAGCCGCGGUAAUACGGAGGGUGCGAGCGUUAAUCGGAAUUACUGGGCGUAAAGCGCGCGUAGGUGGCUUGAUAAGCCGGUUGUGAAAGCCCCGGGCUCAACCUGGGAACGGCAUCCGGAACUGUCAAGCUAGAGUGCCGGAGAGGAAGGUAGAAUUCCCGGUGUAGCGGUGAAAUGCGUAGAGAUCGGGAGGAAUACCAGUGGCGAAGGCGGCCUUCUGGACUGACACUGACACUGAGGUGCGAAAGCGUGGGUAGCAAACAGGAUUAGAUACCCCAGUAGUC